AGAGUUUGAUCCUGGCUCAGGGCGAACGCUGGUGGCAGGCUUAACACAUGCAAGUCGAGCGGGCCCUUCGGGGUCAGCGGCAGACGGGUGAGUAACGCGUGGGAACGUGCCCUUCGGUACGGAAUAGCCCUGGGAAACUGGGUGUAAUACCGUAUACGACCUCCGGGUGAAAGAUUUAUCGCCGAAGGAUCGGCCCGCGUUAGAUUAGCUUGAUGGUGGGGUAAGGGCCUACCAUGGCGACGAUCUAUAGCUGGUUUGAGAGGACGACCAGCCACACUGGGACUGAGACACGGCCCAGACUCCUACGGGAGGCAGCAGUGGGGAAUAUUGGACAAUGGGGGCGACCCUGAUCCAGCCAUGCCGCGUGAGUGAUGACGGCCUUAGGGUUGUAAAGCUCUUUUCUCCGGGACGAUAAUGACGGUACCGGAGGAAUAAGCCCCGGCUAACUUCGUGCCAGCAGCCGCGGUAAU
RNAcentral lists this ribosomal RNA (470 nucleotides) under uncultured Methylobacterium sp. Its description in RNAcentral is "bacterial SSU rRNA". It matches the Rfam family "Bacterial small subunit ribosomal RNA", at positions 8 to 524 of the family's 1533-position model. The record is from RNAcentral. Lineage: Bacteria; Pseudomonadati; Pseudomonadota; Alphaproteobacteria; Hyphomicrobiales; Methylobacteriaceae.